Non-coding RNA from Triticum aestivum (bread wheat), 136 nucleotides. NCBI's taxonomy places the organism in Eukaryota, Viridiplantae, Streptophyta, Magnoliopsida, Poales, Poaceae. The record is from Rfam.
AACAUACUCCCUUCGUCCGGAAAUACUUGUCAUCAAAAUAGAUAAAAGAUGAUGUAUCUAGACGUAUUUUAGUUACGAGAUACAUCACCUUUUGUCCAUUUUAAUGACAAGUAUUUUCGGACGGAGGGAGUAUUAC